Molecule: ribosomal RNA, 253 nt
Filed under: uncultured bacterium
Lineage: Bacteria
Description: partial 16S ribosomal RNA
Rfam family: Bacterial small subunit ribosomal RNA
Source: RNAcentral
UACGGAGGGUGCGAGCGUUGUUCGGAAUUAUUGGGCGUAAAGCGCGUGUAGGCGGUUUUUUAAGUCUGAUGUGAAAGCCCCGGGCUCAACCUGGGAAGUGCAUUGGAAACUGGGAGACUUGAAUACGGGAGAGGGCAGUGGAAUUCCUGGUGUAGGAGUGAAAUCCGUAGAUAUCAGGAGGAACACCGGUGGCGAAGGCGGCUGCCUGGACCGAUAUUGACGCUGAGACGCGAAAGCGUGGGGAGCAAACAGG